Sus scrofa (pig) is the source of this 4078-nucleotide non-coding RNA. The record is from RefSeq and is a predicted model, not a curated record. NCBI's taxonomy places the organism in Eukaryota, Metazoa, Chordata, Mammalia, Artiodactyla, Suidae.
AGAUCUGAAAACAUCAAGUGCAAGUUUUACCUUAGGCUGUCCUCCAGGGUCUCCUCAUCUGAAGAGAAGGUCCCAUCGCUGACACUCGGAGGACAGCGGCUCCUGCACCCAGCAGACGCCUCCGGGGACCCGGAUGGGCCUUUCUUUUUCCUUUUGCCGAACAACUUCUUAAAUGGUUGGAACCUUCCUCCCUUCUUCUUGGCUGUGGAUCACAAGGUCUGCCUUUACGGAGCUCACAGAAAAUCAGAUGGGAAAAAGAAGUGGUUUCGACUACUUCGCCCUAAGCUGUGGCGUGAAAGAGUGAGGAAGCAGAAGGAACAAUCACCAGUUACAGAGACAGUCUGGGAUCCUUAAUACAGGGAACCUUUCAGAAUUUGAACACACUGCUGUCAUUAUCAUUCUCUAAAAGAGCAAAGAAAGAUGCUCCCCAAACCUGUUGGCUGCGGAAACUUGACUUUCUGGACAUCGAUCACAACUAGCGUUCCUUUGAAGGUACUCUGGGAAAUGAAGUCUUCAUUAUUCCUUUCAAAUGUCUUUAUACACAGCUCCCCCAAUUCCAGAGCACACUGCUCAUAAGCAUGAGUGAGUGGACUGCAACAUUUGGGGCCUUACUGGUUGGAUAAACGUAAUGUUUCAGUAAGGCUGUGAUUUCAAACAUGUAUGUAAAUAGCACAUAUUAGGAUACAGUACAGAGCAACUGCCUGCAUCCUAUAAGUUUACUACUUUAAGAGGAAUUUUGCAGGGCUUUUCUUAGUUCUGGAACCUCAUAAUACUUCUGAGGAGAAACUGUGGGAUUAAAAUAGAAUGACUAGAGGGGCCACUGAUGCACAAAUACUGGGUGGUUAGCACAUCUUUACAAAUACUGGGUGACUGGCAGAUCUUUACAAAUUCUGGAUGGCUGGCAGAUCUUUACUGGACCCCAUGGUCCCAGGGUAUGUCAGUUAAGACACAGGGACUGGCAACAUGUCUGAUGGCCUGCCCUCUCUGGGGUUGCAUGAUGACAAGACUGAGGACUGAGGUCCCCUUGCAGAGAGGAGGGCAGGGUGACAGGGCAAGUUACAGGGGAAAAGGAAUGCUUUUCUUCUUUCCUGGGGAAGCAUGGAGGGAGGUAUAUAUUGUUUUGCUUUGCUGAUUCAGAAAAUGAAGAUACAGGACCAACAACACAAUUUUAUUUUUUUUAUUUAUUUUUUUGCUUUUUAGGGCUAUACCUGAGGCAAUUGGAGGCUCCCAGGCCAGGGGUCCAAUUGGAGCUACAGCUGCCGACCUACACCACAGCAGCAGCAACGCCAGAUCCGAGCUGCGUCUGCGACCUAUACCACAGCUCAAGGCAACGCCGGAUCCUUAACCCACUGAUUGAGGUUAGGAAUCGAAUCUCAUGGUUCCCAGUUGGAUUCAUUUCCGCUGCACCAUGAUGGGAACUCCACAACAACACAAUUUUAAAAGAAGGUGGGGAUCCUGGGACAAAUUCCUGAGGAGGACAGAGACUGUGGCUUCCACAAGUCAGGGGUCAGAGGUGAGAUUGUGGCGACUGACCCGAUUCAGGGGUACCAGGCCCCAGGGCAGGUCCACAGCCUCCAUCUGCUUUGAUCCCUGGGCCAGAAAUGUCACUGCUUCCUCCCCAAGGUGAUGAAGUUCUAUUCAGCCUUCCAAAUCAAUGUCUUCAAGCUGUUCCCAACCCCCCAGCCCAUUUAACCAAUCACAGCUCCCUCCGGCUCCCGUUCACUUUGCUAGUGCUUACGCUGCAUGACACCAUGUGUUAUGAGCUGAACUGGGUCUCACCAGAUUCACAGGUUGAAGCCCUAACCGCUCCCCUCCCAAAACCCUCAGAUGGUGACUGUGUUUGGAGAUGAGGUCUUUAAAGAGGUAAUUAAGGUAGAAGAGGCCAUCGAGCAGGCUCUAGCCCAACAUGACUGGUGUCUUUCAAAGAGGAGAUCAAGACACAGACACACACAGGAAGCCCACGUGAGGACAUGAAGAGAAGACGGCCAUUGACAAGCCACAGAAAGAGGCCUAAGGAGAAAGCAACACCGAUGACACCUGGCCCUGGACAGCUGGCCUGCAAACUCCUGAGCCCCCUGCUCAGCGGUACCGGUCACGGCAGCCCUCGCUAAGUAAUGCACCAGGUGGCGGCUGUGUGCUCCUACAGAGACCCCUCUGCAUCAGCUCCUCUGUGCCACUGUGUCUUUGCACCUUACAGAAGCUCUUCUCUGGGGAGUGCUUCUCUCCCUUUGCCUGGAGAACUCUGGCCAUCCUCCCACACACAACCCCAGGGCCACGCUCUCUGGAAGGCCUUCCUUGACCUCUGCCCAGAAAGAAUGGCUUCCUCCUGUUCUCUGCGUGUGUGUGUGUGUGUAGACACCUGUUGCACAGCGCAUGCCACAGCUCCUGGAUGCAAGUUCCCUGGACCCAGGGCCCACACCGCGUUCAGUCUCUACCUGCAGAACUGAUCACGACCCUGGCGCAAAGCAGACACUCAGUUUACAGAUGGAUAGUCCCUAGGCCCUUAGGGCCAGAUGUGCUGAGAAAUUGGAAGUUUUUAGAUUGCACAGAGGCAUAUUUAGACCCCAAUGGGGCUGUGACAGCACUUGAUAAUCACAUGGCAGUGUUUGUGGAAAACGCUUAUAUUCACCUUAAUUUUUGCUAACAGGAAUUUACGCCAAACUUACAAAGGACCUUUGGGAUUUUCAAAGUAUAGAUAAAGGAUGAUGAUCUCUUUAGGGGAUACGGCCAGCCUGCAAUCAAGCUGGAAAAUGCAAAUGUAAAUGUUCCCAUGUGAUUAAUAUACACUCUCAUCCACAAGAAAUACUAGGCGAGUACAGAAAAUUGCACCCAGCUGAAAUGAGGUGUGUAGGAACAUACAGAAUGCGUGCAUACAGAACACACACACACACAGUCAAACAUCUCCCAUUUCCCCCAGACUGCCACUUGUGUUAGAAGACACACCCACACACACGUGGUAUUACAGCUCUGUCUCCCUGUCCCCCGAAUGUCACAAUAACUCCCAGGUUGAAGCACUCUCAAGCUCUCGUCCACAAGAAAACUUUGGGUCUUUUUCAAGGUCAAGAACCAUAUUUAUUGUAGUAUCAGUAGAUUUUAUUACCAUUUAGCACGUAUAAAACUGUGCUGUUUUUUAUUAGGUUCCUACCCACUUAAAUACAUCACUGAGAAGUCUGCGUGUUGUGCUGUUCUCCAAUUUUUCCCAUUAGCUCUUGAUUUUCACUUUCUGACUUUGCAUAGCUCAUUGAUUUUUAGCCACACGUCAUGUUAUAGACAAAUUGACUGAAUGUACUAAACAGAAACUGCUGAACUAGGUUUGUACUGUACCGAGGCAAGGACCAGUCAAUAAAAAUGUAAACAACUUGGCUGCUUCCUGGGCCCUUUCUUUCUCAAAACCACACCAAUUUCUCAUUUUUCUAGUUUUUCCAAUCAGGCUAUUUCAGAACUCCCGUCUACAUGUUUUACAACAAUUCACAAGAGAAACCAAAUAAUACUGAGCAAUAGUAACAGAGGCAGAAGGGAUUUUUCAUGUGAAGUCUCAGUGUUUGGCCACAUUUCUCCCACAUACUGGAAGGUACGUGGGUGAUGGUUCUUUCUACUGCCAGCUUCUGCCACUUGAGUUUCAGGGGCUGCUGUGGAUCACCGCCUACCUCUGAGUGGAAAAUACUAGCAGGGGAGCUGCCUGCUCCCUGGCCCUGCAGAGUCAGCGCAGCAGCAAAACCCCUUGACAAAGGAAACCUCUGCGCAAGGGCUGUGGGUACGUUCAAUUCAAUACAUAGUAUUGCAUAUCUAACACCUGCAGGACUGGUGACAGGCCUUGCUGGCAGCACUGAUGGGUAAAAUAAAAGCUUUAGCGACAUCUGAGGCUCUAUCUGUCAAGGUUUAAUCAAGGAAACAGAAGCAGCAAGAGGAGUUUUUGCAAGUGCGUGUGCGUGUGUGCAUGCGCACGUGCAAUAUAUUAAGAGAUUUACUGCAAGCGGGAGUUCCCAUCAUGAUGCAGUGGAAAUGAAUCCAACCAGGAACCAUGAAGUUGUGGGUCCGAUCCCUGGCCUCGCUCAGUGGGGUAAGGAUCCGGCGUUGC